UAAAACCCUAAUGCUGGCUGCAUGGAAAAGCUCAAUUUAGGGUUUAAAACCCUAAUGCUGGCUGAAAGGAAAAAGUUCAGUUUAGGGUUUUAAAACCCUAAUGCUGAUUGCAUGGAAAAGCUCAGUUUAGGGUUUAAAACCCUAAUGCUGGCUGAAAGGAAAAAGUUCAGUUUAGGGUUUAAAACUCUAAUGCUGACUAAAAGGAAAAGCUCAGUUUAGGGUUUAAAACCCUAAUGCUGAUUGCAUGAAAAAAGCCUAGUUUAGGGUUUAAAACCCCAAUGCUGGCUGAAAGGAAAAAGUUCAGUUUAGGUUUUAAAACCCUAAUGCUGACUAAAAGGAAAAGCUCAGUUUAGGGUUU
RNAcentral lists this long non-coding RNA (358 nucleotides) under Nicotiana tabacum (common tobacco). RNAcentral describes it as "long non-coding RNA (NTAB_LNC001876)". Lineage: Eukaryota; Viridiplantae; Streptophyta; Magnoliopsida; Solanales; Solanaceae. The record is from RNAcentral.